This 238-nucleotide small nuclear RNA is filed under the name Nomascus leucogenys (northern white-cheeked gibbon). Its description in RNAcentral is "7SK RNA (ENSNLEG00000019800.2)". It matches the Rfam family "7SK RNA", at positions 63 to 331 of the family's 331-position model. From Rfam's summary of the family: 7SK was discovered as an abundant small nuclear RNA in the mid-70s but a possible function has only recently been suggested. The record is from RNAcentral. Lineage: Eukaryota; Metazoa; Chordata; Mammalia; Primates; Hylobatidae.
UAAUCUGACGGGCUAGGCAGGUUUCCCCUUUCUCCCUCACUGCUCCAUGUGUGUCCCUUUCCAAACUGCUAGCUUGGUCAAAGAGGAUGUCCAUCCCCCACAGAGGAGGACUGGUCUUCAGUCAAGGGUAUAUAAAUAGCUGUGCUCCCCUGCUAAAACCUCCAAACGAGCUCUUGUAAAAAGCGCCUUCAUAAGAACCAAAAAUCAGGUAAGAACUCAGAGUACCUGGUUCUAACUU